UCUUGCAAGACAGAUGUGAAAUCCCCGGGCUCAACCUGGGAACUGCAUUUGUGACUGCAAGGCUAGAGUACGGCAGAGGGGGAUGGAAUUCCGCGUGUAGCAGUGAAAUGCGUAGAUAUGCGGAGGAACACCGAUGGCGAAGGCAAUCCCCUGGGCCUGUACUGACGCUCAUGCACGAAAGCGUGGGGAGCAAACAGGAUUAGAUACCCUGGUAGUCCACGCCCUAAACGAUGUCAACUGGUUGUUGGGAAGGUU
Molecule: ribosomal RNA, 255 nt
Filed under: Rubrivivax rivuli
Lineage: Bacteria; Pseudomonadati; Pseudomonadota; Betaproteobacteria; Burkholderiales; Sphaerotilaceae
Description: Ideonella sp. KYPY4 partial 16S ribosomal RNA
Rfam family: Bacterial small subunit ribosomal RNA
Source: RNAcentral